ACUGAUUUGCUUUCAAGAUUUCCAAACUUGUAGGUAAAUCUGGGAUUUCAAGAAGAUCUUUGCAAUAACUCAAAUCUAACAUUUUAAGCUUGGAGAGUCCACUGAGGCAAGGUCGGCUAUAAAACAAAUUGCCAUCAAGCACCACAAACAACAACAAAGCCUUUUCCCACUAAGUGGGGUCGGCUAUAUGAAUCCUAGAACGCCAUUGCGCUCGGUUUUGUGUCAUGUCCUCCGUUAGAUCCAAGUACUCUAAGUCUUUUCUUAGAGUCUCUUCCAAAGUUUUCCUAGGUCUUCCUCUACCCCUUCGGCCCUGAACCUCUGUCCCGUAGUCACAUCUUCGAACCGGAGCGUCAUUCGGCCUUCUUUGCACAUGUCCAAAUCACCGGAGCCGAUUUUCUCUCAUCUUUCCUACAAUUUCGGCUACUCCUACUUUACCUCGGAUAUCCUCAUUCCCAAUCUUAUCCUUUCUCGUGUGCCCACACAUCCCACGAAGCAUCCUCAUCUCCGCUACACCCAUUUUGUGUACGUGUUGAUGCUUCACUGCCCAACAUUCUGUGCCAUACAACAUCACUGGCCUUAUUGCCGUCCUAUAAAAUUUUCCCUUGAGCUUCAGUGGCCUACGACGGUCACACAACACGCCGGAUGCAUUCUAACACUUCAUCCAUCCAGCUCGUAUUCUAUGGUUGAGAUCUCCAUCUAAUUCUCCGUUCUCUUGCAAGAUAGAUCCUAGGUAGCGAAAACGGUCGCUUUUUGUGAUCUUCGCUAGAUUGCUCCGGUCAUUAGUGUGGAUAAGUAUAUAAAUGGAUAGAGAUAGGAAAGCAAACACAAGAUGUACGUGGUUCACCCAUAUUGGCUACGUCCACGGAAUAGAAGAGUUCUCAUUAAUUGUGAAGGGUUUACACAAGUACAUAGGUUCAAGCUCUCCUUUAGUGAGUACAAGUGAAUGAUUUAGUACAAAUGACAUUAAGGAAAUAUUGUGGGAGAAUGAUCUCGUAAUCACGAAACUUCUAAGUAUCGGAGUGUAGAGUCGUCUUGACUUGCCUUAUCUGUCUCAUAGGUAGAUGUGGCAUCUUCUCUGGAAGUACUCUUCCUCCAUCCAGGGGUGGUAUCUUUAACUGGUGGAGAUGCACAAGGUAAUGUAUCAAUUUCACUUGAAGCUUACUUGUAGUUUCAGGCUUGGUCAAGCGCGAUACAAACCAUGUAGUAGGAGUCCCCCAAGUCGCCGAGCUAGGGGGUCUGCUGAAAGAGGUGACAGACAAGGUAAGCAAUCAGAGCUCCGACUGAUUGUUCACCUUCUCCCCAUCUUGCAGCAGCAUGAAGGAUAAAGAGAAGAAAAAUGAGAAGAGAUGAUAUGAGAUACUUUUGCUUUUGAAGAAGUAACUUUCCACAGGCUUAUUCUUGAACUGAGCUGGAGGGUUUUCUGGUUUCCUCCAGAGUAUAAGGCCGACUGAAGAAUUUGAGGGUCAAAACAAGUCCAUCAAAUCUAGAGUACGUUCCACCCUGCUGAUAUGGGAUACUUUUGCUUUUGACAGAGUAAUGGAUGUAUCGGCACGUGUGCUGUUACGCUUGUCUCCACAUGCUUCCUUGUAUCCUUCGCACUUGCCCUAUCUGUUCCUCAAGCAGAUGCGGAAUCUUCCCUAGAAACAUAAGAUGUUGAAGAUGAGUACUCGAGAGCAAUGCCAGGUAAGUAAUCAGGUAAGGGGUUCCAGGCAGUCAGUUCUUGGCUGGAAGCUUGAUUCCAAGUGCUGACUGAUUGCUCUCUUUCUCCUUGUCUUGCAGGUAAAAACAAGGCCAAAGGAAAAGACAGGGAAAAAGCAUGAUAUGGGAUACUCUUGCUUUUAACCCUGAUGAUAUGAGAUAUUCUUGCUCUAGUAUAGCUUGUUUACAGAGGUAUUAUCGGGGGGAAAGAAAGCUGAAUAUUUCGAAAGGCUUCGUUGGGAGUGUUUUCUCGAAUGUGAGUAAAGGUUGGGAGUGUUUUCUCGAAUGUGAGUAAAGGUUGGGCAUGUUUGCUAGUCUACCUUUCCACGAAGCACAGAGGUUGACACACAGGGACUUUCCAAUUAUCCAGCAAUGGUACUGUUCCUUUACCCUCUCUUCGAUUUUUGAGGAAGUAAUCAUGUUGGGAGUCUGGCUCUCGAGAUUCGGAGGGCGGUGCCUCUUCGAUUUUGGAGCAAGCAAUCUUGUUGGGAGUGUUUUCUCGAAUGUGAGUAAAGGUUGGGCAUGUUUGCUAGUCUACCUUGCCACGAAGCACAGAGGUUGACACACAGGGAGUUUCCAAUUAUCCAGCAGUGGUACUGUUCCUUUACCCUUGUGGGUAAUAAUAUGGUAGCUAGACCUUCAAAAUUUAUGUGUCUAAACUUUGUUAGUGUUGUUUCUUUGCUAUUCUUUUACCUUUCUUGGUCAGAGCGAUGUAGUGGGAGCUGCAAGCUUCACGUGCUCAACUUUGGCAGAGAACUUUGGCAAAGUUAUCUGUGGUACCCAUGAGCUAUUGUUGCGUGUGGGAAGUGGGUGAUUGAACAGUAAGAUUCAUGUGCUUUCUACUUCACCAGAAGUCUUCGACAGAAUGCCCAUAAUUUCUGCAAAGCUGAGUGUGCGUGUGACAGGUGCUGACAAGGCUAGAAAAGUAGGUGCCUCUUCGAUUUCUGAGAUCGGCCCUCGUGGUCUCUGAGCAGCCCAGCUUUUGAGAAAGCGAGCGCCUCUUCGAUUGAUUCGAAGAACGAUGCCUCAUCGAUUUUUGAGAAAGCAGUCACGAUGGGGGUCUGGCUCUCGAAGAUUCGGGGAGCAGUGUCUCUUCGAUUUUUGAGAAAGUAAUCAUGUUGGGAGUCUGGCUCUCGAGAUUCGGAGGGCGGUGCCUCUUCGAUUUUGGAGCAAGCAAUCUUGUUGGGAGUGUUUUCUCGAAUGUGAGUAAAGGUUGGGCAUGUUUGCUAGUCUACCUUGCCACGAAGCACAGAGGUUGACACACAGGGACUUUCCAAUUAUCCAGCAAUGGUACUGUUCCUUUACCCUCUCUUCGAUUUUUAAGAAAGUAGUCAUGUUGGGAGUCUGGCUCUCGAGAUUCGGAGGACGGUGCCUCUUCGAUUUUGGAGCAAGCAAUCUUAUUGGGAGUGUUUUCUCGAAUGUGAGUAAAGGUUGGGCAUGUUUGCUAGUCUACCUUGCCACGAAGCACAGAGGUUGACACACAGGGACUUUCCAAUUAUCCAGCAGUGGUACUGUUCCUUUACCCUUGUGGGUAAUAAUAUGGUAGCUAGACCUUCAAAAUUUAUGGUUCUAAACUUUGUUAGUGCUGUUUCUUUGCUAUUCUUUUUACCCUUCUUGGUCAGAGCGAUGUAGUGGGAGCUGCAAGCUUCACGUGCUCAACUUUGGCAGAGAACUUUGGCAAAGUUUUCUGUGGUACCCAUGAGCUAUUGUUGCGUGUGGGAAGUGGGUGAUUGAACAGUAAGAUUCAUGUGCUUUCUACUUCCCCAGAAGUCUUCGACAGAAUGCCCAUAAUUUCCGCAAAGCUGAGUGUGCGUGUGACAGGUGCUGACAAGGCUGGAAAAGUAGGUGCCUCUUCGAUUUCUGAGAUCGGCCCUCGUGGUCUCUGGGGAGCCCAGCUUUUGAGAAAGCGAGCGCCUCUUCGAAUUUCUGAGAUCGCCUUCGUGGUCUUUGAGCAGCCCAACUUUUGAGAAAGCAAACGCCUCUUCGAUUUCUGAGAUCAACCCUCGUGAUCUCUAAGCAGCCCAGCUUUUUGAGAAAGCAAACGCCUCUUCGAUUUCUGAGCAGGCGCCUCUUCGAUUUCUGAAGCUCCGUCGAGUGCAGAUUUUUAUAAGGGGCUGGCAUUAAGUUCCAAAACACACUUGAAUCUCCACCAGUAGAAGCUUCCAUUCUUGCACUUCUAAGAUCUUGAUUUGUCCGACCUCUUCUCUCUUCAACACCUUUGAAAAUGUCUGGCCCCUCCGACCGUCGUUUUGACUUGAACCUUGUUGAAGAGGCAGCCCCGCCUUCUCCAGACAACAUAUGGCGCCCAUCCUUCGUCUCCCCUACUGGUCCUCUUACCGUUGGGGAUUCCGUGAUGAAGAAUGAUAUGACCGCUGCGGUGGUGGCCAGGAACCUUCUCACUCCCAAAGAUAACAGACUACUUUCCAAACGGUCUGAUGAGUUAGCUGUUAAGGAUUCGCUGGCUCUCAGUGUUCAGUGUGCAGGUUCUGUGUCUAAUAUGGCCCAACGCCUAUUUGCUCGAACCCGCCAAGUUGAAUCAUUGGCGGCUGAAGUGAUGAGUCUCAAACAGGAGAUUAGAGGGCUCAAGCAUGAGAAUAAACAGUUGCACCGGCUCGCACAUGACUAUGCUACAAACAUGAAGAGGAAGCUUGACCAGAUGAAGGAAACUGAUGGUCAGGUUUUACUUGAUCAUCAGAGAUUUGUCAGUUUGUUCCAAAGGCAUUUAUUGCCUUCGUCUUCUGGGGCUGUACCGCGUAAUGAAGCUCCAAAUGAUCAACCUCUGAUGCCUCCUCCUUCUAGGGUUCUGUCCAGUACUGAGGCUCCAAAUGAUCCCCCUCCGGUGCCUUCUCUUUCUGGGGCUCUACCGACUGCUGAGACUUCUCCUAAGCAACCUUUGUGAAGGCUCCCUCUUGUGUGUUUAUUUUGACUCAUGUAUAUGUACAUAUUUGUAGCUUAUCGGGGAUAUCAAUAAAUAAGCUUUCCUUCAUUUCAACGUAUUGUGUUAAAUACACCAAAGCCUUCUUCGCUAAGUUCUUUGAAUUUUCUUUUGUUGAAGCUUGUAUGUUGAAGCUUUCUGAGUGGAGCAUGUAGGUUGGGGUAGUGUUCCCUUAAUUUUCCGAGUGAGGAAAACUUCUCGGUUGGAGACUUGGAAAAUCCAAGUCACUGAGUGGGAUCGGCUAUAUGAAUCUUAGAACGCCAUUGUGCUCGAUCCUGUGUCAUGUCCUUCGUUAGAUCCAAGUACUCUAAGUCUUUUCUUAGAGUCUCUUCCAAAGUUUUCCUAGGUCUUCCUCUACCCCUUCGGCCCUGAACCUCUGUCCCAUAGUCGCAUCUUCUAAUCGGAGCGUCAGUAGGCCUUCUUUGCACAUGUCCAAACCACCGUAACCGAUUUUCUCUCAUCUUUCCUUCAAUUUCAGGCUACUCCUACUUUACCCCGGAUAUCCUCAUUCCUAAUCUUAUCCUUUCUUGUGUGCCCACACAUCCAACGAAGCAUCCUCAUCUCCGCUACACCCAUUUUGUGUACGUGUUGAUGUUUCACCGCCCAACAUUCUGUGCCAUACAGCAUCGCCGGCCUUAUUGCCGUCCUAUAAAAUUUUCCCUUGAGCUUCAGUGGCAUACGGCGGUCACACAACACGCCGGAUGCACUCUUCCACUUCAUCCAUCCAGCUUGUAUUCUAUGGUUGAGAUCUCCAUCUAAUUCUCCGUUCUUUUGCAAGAUAGAUCCUAGGUAACGAAAACGGUCGCUCUUUGGUAUUUCUUGAUCUCCGAUCCUCACCCCUAACUCGUUUUGGCCUCCAUUUGCACUGAACUUGCACUCCAUAUAUUCUGUCUUUGAUCGGCUUAGGCGAAGACCUUUAGAUUCCAACACUUCUCUCCAAAGGUUAAGCUUUGCAUUUACCCCUUCCUGAGUUUCAUCUAUCAACACUAUAUCGUCUGCGAAAAGCAUACACCAAGGAAUAUCAUCUUGAAUAUGUCCUUGUUAACUCAUCCAUUACCAACGCAAAAAAGGUAAGGACUUAAGGAUGAGCCUUGAUGUAAUCCUACAGUUAUGGGAAAGCUUUCGGUUUGUCCUUCAUGAGUUCUUACGGCAGUCUUUGCUCCUUCAUACAUAUCCUUUAUAGCUUGGAUAUAUGCUACUCGUACUCCUUUCUUCUCUAAAAUCCUCCAAAGAAUGUCUCUUGGGACCCUAUCAUACGCUUUUUCCAAAUCUAUAAAGACCAUGUGUAAAUCCUUUUUCCCAUCUCUAUAUCUUUCCAUCAAUCUUCGUAAGAGAUAGAUUGCCUCCAUGGUUGAGCGCCCUGGCAUGAACCCGAAUUGGUUGUCCGAAACCCGUGUCUCUCUUGCCUCAAUCUAUGCUCAAUGACUCUCUCCCAGAGCUUCAUUGUAUGACUCAUUAGCUUAAUACCCCUAUAGUUCAUGCAAUUUUGUACGUCGCCCUUAUUCUUGUAGAUAGGCACCAAAGUGCUCGUUCGCCACUCAUUUGGCAUCUUCUUCGUUUUCAAAAUCCUAUUGAAAAGGUCAGUGAGCCAUGUUAUAUACCUGUCUCUCCCAAAAGUUUUCCACACUUCGAUUGGUAUAUCGUCUGGGCCUAUUGCUUUUUAUGCUUCAUCUUCUUCAAAGCUACAACCACUUCUUCCUUCCGGAUUCGACGAUAAAAAGAGUAGUUUCUCUACACUCUUCUGAGUUACUCAACUCCCCUAAAGAAGCACUCAUUUUCAUGUCCUUCAUUGAAAAGAUUAUGAAAAUAACCUCUCUCCAUCUGUCUUUAACCGCGUUCUCUGUAGCAAGAACCUUUCCAUCCUCAUCCUUGAUGCACCUCACUUGGUUUAGGUCCCUUGUCUUCUUUUCCCUUGCUCUAGAUAGUUUAUAGAUAUCCAACUCUCCUUCUUUGGUAUCUAGUCGUUUAUAUACAUAUCGUCGUAAGCCGCUAACUUAGCUUCUCUGACAGCUUUCUUCGCCUCUUGCUUCGCUUUUCUAUACCUUUCACCAUUUUCAUCGGUCCUCUCCUUGUAUAAGGCUUUACAACAUUCCUUCUUAGCCUUCACCUUUGUUUGUACCUCCUCAUUCCACCACCAAGAUUCCUUUUGGUGUGGGGCAAAGCCCUUGGACUCUCCUAAUACCUCUUUUGCUACUUUUCGGAUACAACUAGCCAUGGAAUCCCACAUUUGGCUAGCUUCCCCCUCUCUAUCCCACACACAUUGGGUGAUUACCUUCUCUUUGAAAAUGACUUGUUUUUUCUUCUUUUAGAUUCCACCAUCUAGUCCUUGGGCACUUCCAAGUCUUGUUCUUUUUGUCUUACUCUUUUGAUAUGUACAUCCAUCACCAACAAGCGAUGUUGAUUAGCCACGCUCUCUCCUGGUAUAACUUUGCAAUCCUUACAAGUUAUACGAUCCCCUUUCCUCAUUAGAAGAAAAUCUAUUUGUGUUUUUGACGACCCACUCUUGUAGGUGAUCACAUGUUCUUCUCUCUUCUUAAAGAAGGUGUUGGCUAAGAAGAGAUCAUAUGCCAUUGCAAAAUCCAAGAUAGCUUCCCCAUCCUCGUUUCUCUCCCCAAAACCAUGGCCACCAUGAAAACCUCCAUAGUUGCCUGUCUCCCUGCCCACGUGUCCAUUUAAAUCUCCUCCUAUAAAUAACUUCUCCUCCGUUUGAGCAAUUCCUUGCACCAAGUCUCCAAGAUCUUCCCAAAAUUUCUCCUUCGAACUCGUAUCCAACCCUACUUGAGGUGCGUACGCACUAAUCACAUUGAUAAGUUCUUGUCCUAUUACAAUCUUGAUUGCCAUGAUUCUAUCUCCUACCCUCUUGACAUCUACAACAUCUUGUACCAAGGUCUUGUCCACGAUGAUGCCAACACCGUUUCUCGUUCUAUUUGUGCCCGAAUACCAAAGUUUAAACCCUGAGUUUUCUAGAUCCUUUGCCUUACUACCAACCCACUUAGUUUCUUGUAGGCACAUAAUAUUUAUCCUUCUCCUCACCAUAACUUCCACUACUUCCAUAGAUUUUCCCGUUAAGGUUCCUAUAUUCCACGUUCCUAAACGCAUUUUGCUCUCUUGAACUCUACCCUUCUGUCCUAGCUUCUUCACCCUCCCCCGUCUAAUAAGAUCAAAGUACUUCUUUUGUGUGUCCCGGGUAAAGUUGAUAGGAGCAUAUGCUCCCAAACAACUUUGAGUGGAGUCGUUUGAAAAGAAGUUUCUAUGGCCCCCUUGCUCAUUUAACACUGCAUCCGGGUGCCGAUGGAGAUACAGCGACCCUUGCUCACUUAUCACUGUGCUCGGGCCACACAGCGCGCCACUUACGGGUGACGCCCUAGCUUUAGCGUGAUUUUGUUCUGGAUUCAUUUUCAUAAGGAUUCGACGUGAUCAUGGAGUGCCGGCUGUCGACUACCUGACGCCCUCCCCCUCCUCCUUUAUCCGGGCUUGGGACCGGCCAUGUAAGACAUAGGCGGAGUUUUGCCAUCAAGCUCCAAUAUUUCUAAAUAAAAAUAGACUACCAAGAUCCUUAGGGAUGGAAUCAUCAGUUAAAUUGCAGUUUCCAAGACCUAAAAAUGUCAACGAAGGGCGCAAAAGAUUACUUGAUGGUGACCCUCUCAAACCCCAUAGAAAUAAAGAUGUCAGGUUCUUCAAUCUUGCAAUUGAAGAUGGAUCUUGGCUUAUCAUUGUAUCCGACACGUCGACCUAGAUCCUUUGGGAUGGAAUCAAGUAGAAGAGAGAGCAAAUACCUGGCUUAUCAUUGCCAUCAAGCUCCAAUAUUUCUAAAUAAAAUAGAAGAGAGAAAGCAAGAUAUUGGUAUUCACAGAAGCUGAAGAAAAUAAUAAAUAAUUUGUUUGAGAUCAUAUUAUACCACGUCAGUGUCCUCACAAACUCGUAUGAGUUUGCUAUAGCUCAAGUCAAUAGCAACUAGGUUUGGUUGAUAGAAAUCGUCAGGUAUGACCUUCGGAGGAAAUCCAUGCCAACAUAACCAUCUUAAAUCCUUGGAAAGAUGGUGGUAACUUCCAGUGAGCUUUAUGUUUUUGAGUUUGAGCAAUCUCAGACUCAGCAUGUUUCUAAAUGAUUCUGAACUGAAGCUACGCGUGUCAAACUGUUGUAUAUCUAAAGCAAGUUAACUUAUUGAAAGACCAUGAAAUUCACCAUUUUCCCUAAUAUAGGCCUUUAUACACCAAAAAAUGGGAGGUCUAUCAGCUGAGCACUUAACUGUUAGAAAGCAGGAAAUUAAGCAUUGCCCUUGAACGUUUGUGUUCAAGAGUCUAACAUGUCUUGCUCUGCAUCUUCUGAAGCUGAAAGGCCACUCACUUCUUCUUUGUCAUCCUCCCAGUCACUGUCUUCCAAUUGAGGACUCUCGGACCUCUUCUCUGACUCUGCCCCUUGCCUUCUCAUGUGUUCUGAAAUAUUUCACGAAAGCAAACAAUUAAAGACCGGGGGCAUGUAUAGUCUGGGGAAUGUGAGGCAAGAGAAGAGGAAAACUUACUUUUAUUGGUAAUUGCGUGACGAGUCAUGACCAAGAAUUCAUCCCACUUGAAUUUCCUGAGUUCUUGCUUCUCCUCCUCAGAAAGCUCAAAAUUUGGUUCCCUCCCACACAUGAAAGCAGCCCUGAACACAAAUAACAAAACCAACAAAGUUUAUAUGGCAUAUAAUUUAUUGCAUUUGACACACAAAGCUUACCACCCAUUUUCCCAUUUGGCUUAUCAAGUUUCAUGUUUUUGAAUGUCGGGGGAUUGACACGAACCACUAUAUCAUGUUGAUAAUGCAGACACAACAGACCUUCAGGUUUUAAAAAAUAAAAAACCAGAAGUAACAUAAAAAAGGACACAGGUAACCACUGGUUGGAAUGAACAUAUAGGAUGGCAUGUUCUAUCUGGUGACCCUGUCCAAAGAACGUGAACAAAAAAAACCAGUGUAGCAACAGUGAAAACUAAGAUUGUUUUACUUGGUGUAUCUAAAAACAUGAUGACGAACCACUAAACAAGAGAAGGCAUUCGGUAGUCGAUAGACAAAGGAAAACUGCAAUGGUUUAUGAUUUUCAAUAUUAUGCACUACUGAAAGAUCUUGUAUCUGCUGAUCUUUCCUUAUAGUGCUCAUCCAAUAAAAAUUGUUCGUAGUGAAAAAAAUGUGAUCGUACCUGUCGUACAAAUGAGCAGCCUCUUCUUGGGAACCAACAGUGCCCAAGUGGAUUUGUUUCUUGUCAACUUUUAUUGCUGCAUGCCACUUCAUAUUCUUAAAAUACACACCUCUCAGUAGACUUGGUUCCUGGUUUUGAGCAUACUUUCUGCGAUGUUGCUUUCUGUGUUUGACUGGUGGCCCUGAAAAUAGCAUAUUAUGUUUUAGAAACGAGCAACCUGUAACACAGGCCUCUCAAGCUAAUUGUAAUGGAUAAACGUAUAUGUUAUUUUUAAUACUUCCAUUAUCAAGAUUCAAGAAUAUGCCGUGUGCAGGAGGCCUAGGCAAAUAUACAGAAUUACUGCAAAAUCAAGAAUAUGCUGUGUGCCAAAAUAUUUCUAUAGGCAAAUAUACCAAAAGUUGAAAAUAACUGCAAAUUAAAAAUCUUGCAUCUUCUCUGAGAAGACAAUCAUGAAGUUCCUCAUAACGUAAAGACAGAAAAUACAAGUUUCAAAAGGAUGAGUUCGCAAAUUUGUGGUCCAAUAGUCCAAGACAUCCAGCAUUCUAAUCUAUGAAUAUGUAAUUAGAAAUGAUAGAAAAUUUAAUUUAAACAACAAACCUGCCACAUCGUGCUGCUCUUCGGAUAAGCUAAAACCAGAUGCAAUGAAGGAACGAGGUUCUGCUUUCACAAUGGUAUUCUGGUAAUAAGUAAAGCAUCAGAUAGAAUGAAACUAAGAAGCUAAGAAAUGAUUGAAAUGAAUCCAGAACUGAAAUGAAAUAUCCCAAAUAGAGCUUUUGAUUUCCUAUUUAUGGUAUAUAUUUUUACUUUUUUUUCUGAACACAUUCCUUACUAAAAAAUGCUACUUUUUAGCUUUUUUGAUAAGCAACUAUGAAUUAAGAGCAUACUGGAUCACAAAACCAGGUUUAGGGGCACCAACAUCUCUAAGGGUUUACUGCUUAUAGAAAUGCUAUUCUUACUUUGAAUGAGAUAUUGUUAUUUUAUAAACCGUACUUAGGUCUUAUAUGGCGAUCAUUGCCAUCUUACCAUUUUUCUCUCGGUACCCUGCUAAGCUUACUUCACGUUAAAAAGCAAUAUUACGCCAUUGAGACAUUCUGCCUGCGGAUUUUUGUUCUAAAUUAUAUAUAUGGAACUUUUCUCUUACCAUACAUACAUGUAUAUUAACAAAAAACGUAGAAAUCCUGUCUGACGAGUGUCCUAAACAAGCUAAUAAAACCUUCAAACAAAACAGUACCCCAUAUAAUGUAUGUAUUUAAUGAUCGAUUGAUCAACAAUCUUUUCUUACCCCAUCUGGUUGAUUUGCAUCAUUCAAAGGCAUGGGAUGCACAGUGACAGGAUUUGUACGGGGUUUCGAGGAUAGGUAGGAUGGACUUAGCACUCCAACAACUGGGCCAGUGACCUUUAGUGGAACAGGGUUGUCCUCGCUGAAUUCAAGAGAUGUCCAGUGUAACGGUUCAGCUUUAGCCAGGCGAAUUUCAACUUUGGUGGACAGAACGUCAAAUCUGCACAUUUCAGGUAUUAUCUUUCCAAAUAAGCGGGUCUGAAAAUGAUAUGUAUCUUCACCAGCAACAUCAAUGCUAACACCUAGUUUUUGUUCACCAAAGUCAACAUUAACGUCUUUGGCUGAUAUGCCCUCAGCGAAUAUAGUCACAACCACUUCUUCUGGCUUCUGGUAGAAUGCAGGCCUGUAUUUUGGUUUGACAUAUGUAGUGGUCACCUGAUUGGAAGGUUGACUCGCAGGCUGAACAUUUUUUGCAGGUAUAACAUUCUCUGUAAUGUUUUUCUCCAAUGAAGCCGUUGGUAGAACAGCAGUUUCCUCUGCAAUUUUCUCAUCACACUCUUUUAUCAAAUUAGCGAAUCUUGUCUCAUGUGGGGCCAAAGGAGCACCAAUUUCCAGGGUUGCCUUUGCAGUCUGAUAUUCCUCGAGCUUGAUGCAGGCAAUUCCUUUGCGCAAAUACGCUUUGUACAAUAAUGGAUCGAACUCGAUUGCCUUGUUCGCAUCCGCAACAGCCUCAGUGAGAUUGCCGGAUUUGAUGUUGGCCUGCGCGCGGUUGGUGUAGAGCUCGGCGCUCUGAGGGUUGAAAGCAAUGGCAUGGGUGUAGAGGUCAACGGCCAACUUGAAGCAGUCGUCGAUGAACGCCUCAUUGGCACACUUUUCGAGAUCGGAAGCCAUGGGCAGACAACCGUCCAUGUGGACCGAGGGAGAUGGAAGAGUCUAGAAAAACAAAAAAAGUAUACAACUAUGGUUAAUUGUUGAUUUCUUUACAUAGAUGAGAAACUAAAUACAAUGUAUAAUAUUUAAGGAAAAAAAAAUACAUUGAUAAACCAAUAAAUUAUUAAUUUACCGAUUAUUUAAUAUUCCGCUAUAUUAAUAGUCUUCAUUGGUCUCAAGGCUAUUUAUUUAUAGAAGUUUAAUUAUAUAUACAACAACAACAAAGUCUUUUCCCACUAAGUGGGGUCGGCUAUAAUUUGGCAAAUAUACGAUAUAACUCUAAUAAUUUCGGAAGUACAAACCUCUUCAGAUGAAUUAUUUCUUGGUACAGCACCAAUCUCCUCAAUGCUAGUGUAUUUGUCACCGGCAUUACCAUCAUCCCAGACUAGAUUAAUUCCUGUUUUCAUCACUCUCCCUAUUACUCUCCCUCUCCCAUGAGCCUUUGUAACUGCAGAAAUCGAGACUUCGUCUCCACUUUGCAAAUGGAGUACAUCAUUUGAUAAUACACUUUGCAAACGGAGUACACUAUCAGCUACCCAGCAGGUAGAUUCUUCCCAGGUGUGCAAAGCCUUACGCUUGGUAAUAUUUGUAACAGUAAAUCCCGGACAAUAUGUUUCGAAAACACAGCACACAGUCAAUCCUCUAAAAUUACAAGGCACUUUAAAACGAACAUCAUUGGGCUCAUGAAUACCAACAAUCUGGAACCACUCCGGAAUAUCAUAAAUUCCAUUGAGAAAAAUGUCACCAUGUCCGCAAGAAGUCCAUCCCUAGAGCAUACCACGUAAAGCCAGAUUAAUUUGUAUAAGCAAGUCUUAAUUAUGCAUGCGUGUCAUGAACAUGUACAGUACAGGGGCCUCUGUGGGAGUGUGAUAGAAAGAGGAAGAGAAUAUGUCUCUCAGAGGGAGAUCUGUAGGAUGUUCUUCCUAAAACUCAGCAUGUACAUGUCAUUAUUAUGCAUACGAAAUACAUUCUUGUACAUGCAUGUUUUUGGUGUGUUUGUGUGGAUAUGUGUGUGUGUCUGUGAGGGAGAGAGAGAGAGAGAGAGAGAGAGAGAGAGAGAGAGAGAGAGAGAGAGAGAGAGAGAGAGAGACCUGUAUGAUGUUCUUCCUAAAAUCAGCAGUGAGAUUGGUGCAGCCUUCCAUAUGAAUCCUUCUCAUAGUGUGUAACGACUUAUGCAAGCCUAGAAUCUCACUGAGUUUGGGGGAGUGAUUUAGAUGCAGUUCUACCAUACUUGACAUUUCUGAAAAAUUUGGCAGUUUUGCGAGUGCAAUGCACUGAUUCGCUCUCAAGAUUUCCAAACUUCUUGGUAAAUCCGGGAUUUCAAGAAGAUUUUUGCAAUAACUCAAAUCUAACAUUUUAAGCUUGGAGAGUCCACUGAGGCUAGGUAGGCUAUAAAACAAAUUGCCAUCAAGCUCCAAUAUUUCUAAGGAAAAUAGACUCCCAAGAUCCUUAGGGAUUGCAUCAUCAGUUAAACCACAGUUUCCAAGACCUAAAAGUGUCAAAGAAUUUAAGCCAUGCAAUGAAAGGAGCACAGAUCUCAGGUUCUUCAAUCCUGUUAUUGAGGAUGGUAAUUUCCUUGUCAUUGUAUGGCUUGCUUGAGGUGUUGUCGAUGAUACCAUCUCCCCCUUGUCCUUCAGUUUUAUAAAUCCUGUACAGCCUUUAAGAAUAAGAGUCUCAACUGAUUUUGACUUACAGAAAUCCCCUGGAAAAUACUGAAGCGUUUUGCAGUCUUCAAGAUUUACCAAUGAAAGUCUUUCAAGAUGCCCAAUAGAUGGGUGAAUCUUAGACAAUCUUACACAGUUUACCAAUAUCAGUUUUUCAAGAUUUGGGACUUUGGAAAGAUCUGGUGAUUCUGUUAGGUAAUGGGAAUGACUGAGAUUGAUGAUUUUCAGAUUCUUGAGCAGCUGCUGGGGGAAAAAAAAAAAAAAAAAAAAAAAAAAAAACAGAACACAAAAUAGAAAUUCAAAUAGAAGAGAGAGAAAGCAAGAUAUUGGUAUUCACAGAAGCUGAAGAAAAUAAUUAAUAAUUUGUUUGAGAUCGUAUCAUACCACGUCAGUAUCCACCCAAACUUGUAUGAGUUUGCUAUAGCUCAGGUCAAUAGCAACUAGGUUUGAUUGAUCGAAAUCUUCAGGUAUGACCUUCAGAGGAAAUCCAUGCCAACACAGCCAUCUUAACUCUUUGGAAAGAUGGUCGUAACUUCCGGUGAGCUUUAUGUUAUUGAGUUUGAGCAAUCUCAGACUCUGCAUCUUUCUAAAUGCUUCUGUACUGAAGCUACACUCGUCAGACUCUUGCAUAUCCAAAGCGAGUCCUUCAACGUCUUCUGUUCCCUAUUACAAAAAAUAGUUGAAAAUUGAAAACAAACCAACAACAACAACAACAACAGAGGAACUAAGAAAAGGGUUAUAUGCAAGUGAAAAGGUGAUUAAUUCAUACAUCAGAACCACAAGGCCUUGAAUUGGAUGGAUGAACCACAUGAGAGGUGGACAAUUACACAAUAUAGAACAUGGGACCUCUCAUAGGCAACUUUUAUUAUAUAUCUACUAUAAUAUGCUUAUAUGUCUGGAUUAUAACCAUAAAGUUGUACUUUACAUCUGUCUACAUUAAUUAGGUAUCUUUAGCAAGCUUCUGUUACAGGUAUCAUAAUUCACAAAUUGUACUUAACCAGAGGAGGACAUGUGUGAUUCUGUUAUUUAAUUUGAGAUGAUUCAAUACAAAAAGCUCCUUUUUUGUCUCUUACAGUUUCCUUUCUCUGCUACAUUAGUACAUGCAUUUAACAUCAAAUUUAAUUGCAAAAGUACUCACAGAUUGCUUCGUCAAUACGUCUGUUAUAUCUUCAUUAUACCACAAUCUACUACGUUCUCCAGGAUUGUCAGGGGAUUCUGCACGCACGAUUUCUCUGCCCAUGCCUUGAAUCAAAUCAUGCAUCAUGAGAUUGCCUUCUUUAUCAACAGUUACAAGGCAUUGAUCUUGGAGUUCUCGAAUCCCUAUUUCUGGAUAAAACUGACAGCCAUCCAGUACUGUCAUGACAUAGUCCUUGUUCAUUCCAGUAAAGAAACAAGAGAUGUCAAGGAAUAUAGCCUUCACGUCAUCAUCAGUUAGCCCAUCAUAGCUUAUUUCAAGUCUUCUGUGAAUUUCCCGAUAAGGCUGUGAUCUUUUCCAUUUAUCCAGUACAGUUUCCCAUUCACUUGUGCUUCCUGUACGUAUAUAAGAACCUAAGACUUCAAGUGCUAGUGGCAAACCUCCACAGUAGCCAACAGCCUUUCUUGAGAGCUCAAUAUACUCUUCAUUAGGAUAAUUGUUUCUAAAGGCAUGCCAACUAAGUAGUUCAAGAGCUUCUCCUUCAUUCAUUGCUGGCAGAGGACAUAUCUUAUCCACAUUAAUUAUCUUUAGCAAAUGUUCGUUUCUUGAAGUUAUAAUGAUUCUGCUCCCUGGACCAAAGGAGUCAGGUUUAUAGCCAAAGCAUCUCUUUGUUGAACGCUGUCUAAAUCAUCAAUUACGACAAGUACCCUUCUGUUGCCUAACCUUUGUUUUAUCUCCUUGGUCCCUUCAUUGAUACUACUUACCAAUAUGUAGGCCGGUUUCAAGAUAUCAGAAAUAAGUUUUUUUUGCAAAUCAACCAGUUUCUCUUCGCUCGCAGUUUCAAGGAAACUUGCACCGUCAAAACUAUGAUGAUGUUUGUUGAAAACGGCUUUUGCAACCGUUGUCUUACCCAGUCCACACAUACCCAAAAUUCCAAUUAUGCGAACAUCAUUUGAUCCUCCAACAUCUAAAUGCUUACUAAUUUCUCGCACACGAGAAUCUAUUCCAACUAGCUUCGUAGGUACCACUAAGCGAUUGUUUCUGCUCAGUUUUCCAGUGAUCUGAGAAACAACGUUCCUGAUAAAAUUUCCUUCAUUCCUGGUUGUUAAAAUUCAACAAAGCAAAAGUAAAAAUUUAUUAUGCGACUUCAAGAUCACAUUAAUCUUUCAGAAAUUGACGAGUCAAAAUCUCCAGAUACUAUUACAAUUUCCUAAACUGAAAUCUUGGUUGUUAAAUUUCAACAAGGCAAUUAUUACCGAUUAUUUUUUUAUUGUGUAUAUCGAUAUUUUACACUAAGAAGAAGAGAGGGAAUUCGGCUAGGUCACACAAUAAGCAACAUAAUUUGGUAUCGAAUUCGCCAUCCACGAUAUUCCAACAUAAGAUCUCUCGCUUAUAAGUGAAGAGUUAUACCAUCAAAUCCUAGUAUUGAGUGGCUAGAUAAGCCUGAUAUAAUCAUUACUUAUACAUAAAUAAAUAAAAUGGAAGGGAAAUUUCAGCCACACAAAGUAAAGAAAAUAAAAAGGAAAUAAGAAAGUAAUUACCCGGCAGAUUUGGUUCCAACAACGUCAGUCUGUCGAAAAUUGAAUCCGGCCAAACUUCCAGCUUCCUUAAGAGCGUUUCUCCAGAGAAGUACCUUUUCUUCCUUAACUUCCUGUUCAUAUUUCUGAAACGCCUGUGCAAAACUACCACUCUGGUUCAGGACAUCUGAGGAAUCAACACCAUAGAAGAUUGGAAAAACCAUUUGACCCAGUGUUUUUCUGCACUCCAUGAUCUUCACCAGCUCCUCGAGACACCACGCGGACUCUGGAUACCCUCUUGAGAAGACGACGACGGCAACCUUAGACCUUUCGAUUUUUUGAAUCAGGUGUUCUGGUAUAGCUCUAUUACUUUUUUCUAGCUUGUAAUCGUAUUCGUCUCCGUACAUGAAGACGUUGAAUCGGUGGUCUUCUAAUGUACAGUAGAGGUGGUCCGUGAAGGUCGUGCGUGUGUCUUCACCUCCAGAACUCAAGAACACGUCGUACAUCGGAUCGUCUUUGGAGGAUGAAUCCAUCAAUUGUUACUCCAGGAUGUCUUGGCAGGCAGCACAGAUCAAAUUUGAGAUCUACAGACAACCGUAAGGGCAAAGUAAACUCAAAACUCCGAAAAGAAAAGUGGGAACUGGCAAGUGACAAGUCAAUUACGAUCGAUCCCACCCAUUUUAUUUUUUGAUCCAACGGUAUCAAAAAGCUCAAGGAAGAAAAAAAAAAUUUAACCAAUUUUUUUAAGAGAAUUUUAACUAAAAGCUACCGGUACGGUUUACUUUAACGAAAAAUCAUAUUUUUACACUAAAAAAAUCAAUCAUCGUACUUUUUAUUUUAUCCUUUAUUUUGUUCCUAUCGUUAAAAAUUAAAGUUUUUAAACCAUUUUCAUUAGUUUUCUUUUUUUUUAAAGACAAAAUAACACCUAUCCUUCCUAGAAAAAAAAAUAAAAAUAAAAAAUCCAACUGUCACCCAAGGGCCAAGAGCCAAAAGACACAAGCUGUGUGAAAGGUGCUAAAUCGUCUCACUCCUUACUUUAGUUUAGUACAAGACUGGACCUUUGUAUCAAGGAAAACGAUAGAUUGCCGAUGAACUAAACCACCUAAAAAAAUCUAUGACAACUUUAAAGAAGGAAAAAAAUAUCUAUGACAAUUUGAAGAAAGCAGAUGGCAAAUCAAACAGUAAACACUGAAUUAAAAACAAUAAACUCAUCCAUACAUCCAGCUCCCAUCUCUCUCAAAUCUGUCAGUCCCUCAAAGUCACCCAUACCUCCCUCAGUCACCCCUUCCUGACCGGCCAACCCCACAAACUGCACACAACCAUGCCUUCCCCUCUCUCUCUCUCUCUCUCUCUCUCUCUCUCUCUCUCUAAAAUCAGAGGAAACCUCAUAGAUCCUGGCAGAUGACGUAGAUAAAUCUCUCUCUCAUUGAGUCGAAAGCCCUAACACCCAUAUCUCUCCAAUAUGUCACUCCCCCUGUCCUCCCCUAACCACCCGAAGCACAGCCAUCUCUCCCCGAGUCAAAAUUGGCGGCCCUCACUCUCUCUCCAUUCUAUCAGCUCUUAUCUCUCUCAAAUCUGCAGGUGACUCCUCUCUGUGGGUGAUUGUGUGCCCAAACCCCAUUUCCAUCCGCCCAAUACAAAUCCAACCAAGCAAAUAAAACCCCAUCCAGAGCCUAAACCCACAAAGCCCAUUUUUUAAAGGAAUGGCAUGCCCGUAAAUAAAAUGAAAUUCGAACCCAAACACUAUUCAUUUCUAUAGUGCUAAUUCCAAUGCUUUCCUUAGACUAAAGUAAUUUUAUUUUAUGGGUUAAUAUCAGUUUAUUACUCUAAUAUUUAGUGGUUUUCAACAUUUGGUAUAUGAAGUUUUUUUCAUCUCAGAGUCAUACCUCAAGUCUUAAUUUUGGAGCAGUCUCGUACUUUCGUUAGUCAUUCUGUUAAGGACUCUGUUAAAACGUGAUGUGGCACUUGAUUGGGCAACGACAAUGCAAAAUGUGGCACUGUGGGCUCCACAUAGACCUAUAAAACAAUUAGAUAAUUAAAUAAUAUUUUUUGCCUACCUUUUCUCCAGUAAGAAGAACAAAUAAAUAAAAAAUAAAAAUAUUAUAACUCCCAUCUUCUCAAAGUCUUUAAGCUUGUUUGGAUGUAUUUUUAAAAUAACUGAAAGCGCUUUUGGUGAAAAUACUUUUGAAAACUAUCCUUAGUAAAAAUGUUAGUAAAUUCUUGAAAAGUACUUAGGGUGCGUUUGUUGCACCGGACUGUCUCGGACUGGACUAGCUUCAGGGACUAAGCUGGACUAACUUAAUGAAAAGUUUGGUGCAGUGUCGGACUAAGAAGCAAAAUAAUAAUAAAUUCUAAUAUUAUAUAGUUUAAUUCAUAAUUUAUUCCUAAUUCUAGAAACCUCUCCGUCCAUCAACCUCUGUUUUUAUUCCUCAUUUUUCUCAGUCCCACCCUCAUCCUCUUUCUCUACCCUCUCCCUCUCUGCCUCCUAUCUCAAGUCGUGGAAAAGGAAGAAACUUGCUCUAAUUCUCCUGCACUUGAGCUUCCAAGAAGGACCCAAAGUCUUGAGCGAUUUGUAUUUCUUUUUUUUUUUUGUUUUUUUGUCAAUUCACUGUCAUUUUCCCAGGCCCCAGAUCCGGCCGACCCAGACUCUUUUCGUAGUUGGAGCUAACGAUUUGAGACAUGUUGGGGGAGUUGGUGUGUUGAGUCGACGAUUCAACGGCGGAGGUUGUGAAAGUCCAAGCUUUUCCGAUGUAUGUGCGGCAAGACACGCGGUGAUUCAACUACGGAGUCAUCGAGCUUUUUUUUGGAAAAAUCAAACCCGUUUUCUGGUGGAGUUGGUGAAGGGAAGCAGACGAGCGACAGAGGAACGAAGCAAGUCUUAGUUUGUCCCAUGGUUUUCGGGGACUCUAACUAAGAACCUCUAGUGACGCUGUCAGUCCCGAUGAGUCCGGGCUAAUCUCAUUAAUCUUAGCCCCGCAUGAUAACAAACACUGGACUAAACCAAAAGUUAGUCCAGUCUGGUCCAGUGAAACCUAGUGAAGCAAAACAAACGGGCCCUUAAAGUGUUUCCAGGGAGAAGCACAUAACUGGUGCUUCUUGUAGAAAGCACUUAAAGUGCUUUUGGAACUCAAAAAUAUUUUCUUUAAAAGUGCUUUCAAUCAUUUCAAAAGCACAUCCAAACGAGCCCUUUAUCACCUACAACUUCUCCAACCACCCCUACAUCUCCUCCGACAACCACGCUUCCCUAGCCGCCAUUUUUCACACACCUAGAACCUAAAUCCUCCAUUUUCCUCACUGCCUCCAUCUCAUCCUUCGACUCUUUCGCUACCAUAGUUAUCUCCUUCACCAAACCCACAACCUCUAUCGCUGGCAUAGCUGUCGAUUACGGCGAUCCAGAUCCGAAAACCUUAUGGAAGAUUCCACGACAUGUUGAAUAUGGCCACGAUAGUGAUCGAAUGCUCGGAUUUGGCUACGGCGAUGAGUGAGUUGUCUGGGAUCGGGAACCCCAACUGGAUUGGGACAAAACGACGACUUCAGAUCUUGGCUUCGUCUGUACAAUUAGGCAAUUAGGAACCGAUUCUUUGAACCAUGAGGGAUCCAAAACCUUGGCGACGUCUUCAGAUCUCGGUCUCGAUGGCGAAGAUGAGCUAUUGGAAAUAGCUCGUUGUCGCGGACCAGAUCCAUUGCGAAAUAGAUCUUGGACUUGCUUGCCAUGACCUUUUUAGAGUUGGAUGAUGUUGGGUGCUUCACCAUCCUCAUCACAAAGGACGAUGUUGGGGUUCUUUUUUAGGUUUUAGGUUUUAAAUUUUUUAAUGUUUAAUUUUUAUAUUUUUUUAUUUUAAAAAAAAUUAAUAUCCAUGUAGGUCAUAUUGACAUGUGGCGUCUAUUCAUUGUCUACAUAAAUGCCACAUCACCAGUUAAUGACUUUCUUAACAAAAAGACUAACAGAAAUAUGAGACUGUCCCAAAAUUAAAACUUGAGGUAUGACUCUGGGAUGAAAAAAAACUUCAUGUACCAAAUGUUGAAAACCAGGAAAUAUUAGGGUAGUAAACUGAGAUUAACCCUUGUUUUAUAUUAUGAAUACUUUACUCACUCCUUACUUAGUUUAGUGUUUUAUAUUAUGAAUAUUUUAUUAGGUAGAUACAGGUCGGGCAAAGCAGACACUCUGCACUCUCAAUCAAGGUUCUAAAAAACGUUAGGCGCUAGUCGGGCGGUGGGCUGGCGCCUAGCGCCUAGCGCCUAGGCGGCUAAGACCAUCUCCAACCGAAGGGUCUAGAGGGCCAGAGGGCCGAAAAUAGCCCUAAAACCGUCUCCAACCGAGGGUUAGGCUAGAGGGCUCGGGAAUCUGGGAGGGCCCCACGGGAUCGGAGAGGGCUGGAGGGCUGGAGGGCUGGCUGCUUUCGGCCAGCCAGCCAGCCUCGGGCUGGCUAUUUUUUUUUUAAUGUUUCUUAUUUCUGUCGGUUACAACCGACAGAAAUAACAUUUUGAAUUCAAACUUCCAACGGCUAGCGCCACUAGCCGUUGUAAAUCCUUUUUUUUUUUUUUAUGAAUUUAAACCUUUUUUUUCUUUUUUUUUCUAUAACUUCCUAUAACUUCUAUUUUACAAAAUUUGUUUCAAUUUUUUUUUAAUUCUAUUUUUUUUCCUAUAACUUAUAUUUUACAAAAUUUGGUUCAUAUUUUUUUCAUAUAACUUCUAUUUUACAAAAUUUGUUUCAUAUUUUUUUUUAAAAUUCCAUUUUUUCCUAUAACUUCUAUUUCACAAAAUUUGUUUCAUAUUUUUUUUAAAUUCUAAUUUUUUCCUAUAACUUCCUAAGCCAUUAUACAACAUUAAAUUAAAUUAAGUAACAUGAAACAACAUUAAACAAUAUGAAACAACAUUAAAUAACAUUAACCGACAUAAAAAUUAUACAACACUAACCAACAUGAUUUUUAAAUAAAAUUAAGUUGUAGUUUUUAAAUAAUAAAUUAUGUUUGGCCCUAUGGCCCUUUGGCCCUCGGUUGGAGACGGUUUUUUUUUACAGGGCUAAAACGAGCCCUCUGGCCCUCUGGUUCUCAGUUGGAGACGGAGGCAAAUAUGGCCAUGUACUGUUCAUUAAAAUAUUAAUAUCUUGGAGAAUCUUAGAGGGCCAGAGGGCUAAAACGAGCCCUCUGGCCAGCCAUCGGUUGGAGAUGGCCUAAGAGGGUCUAGGCAGGCGGCCUAGGCAGAUUUAGAUAAAUUUCUUGUAUAUCUUAUAAAUAAGUGCAUAUUAACACUUACAAAAAAUUAUACUUGUAUGAAAUCUAUGGAUAACAUAAUAAAAGAAUGAUAAAAUGAAAAAAGAGUACCCAACAAGUCCAAUUUAAAAACACAUUAACCAUAUAUGCCAUAUAACCAUAAUGAGGAGUAUAGUAGGAUGACACAUGUAUUACAAGUUCACAACUUAGACUUAGAUAGGAUAUUUUUUUUAAAUUUAAAAAAUAAAAAAAAUAAAAAAUAAAAUAAUAAAAUAAUAAAAAAACCACUUAGCCUCCUAGCACUGCCUAGCUCGCCUAACCCGCCUAGAGCCCAGCCAAUUUGCAAGAAAAUGCCUUGGGUCACCACCGCUGAGUGCCUAGGCAAUUUUUUAGAACACUGCUCGUAAUUGAGUGCUGAGCAAAAAUAAGGAUGAGGUCUUCUUUGUGAGGAUCUUAGAGAUUCUCACAUUUUAACUGUUUUGUACGAUCAAUUUUCAUUCAGUACUAUUUGUGUUUAAUUUUAAAUAAAAUUUUAAAAUGAUUUCUGAAUGCAAGAUAUACGAUGAAUGACUAGAAUCGGAUUCCCACAAUUUAUAUCCGGAUGGGAUCCAAAUCCCAAAAACAAGUCGUAAAAGAAAUGUAACAAACAAUUUACUCAAUAAAAUUUUAUUCUCAUUUGUUUUUUGGAAGAUUAUUAAUUUUGAGGUCAACUCAUUCUAAACAAUGCGUUUAUUAAUCACACCUUUUUUUUUAAUAACGAAAUACGUUUUGCUUCUAACAUGAUAAAAAUGAAUUUUCGAGAUCAAUGUCUUUAUUUGAUUUUGCGGUUGCACUUAGGUGGAACCCUAGACUACCUACCUACCUUUUUUGAGGGAUCAAGCCGCUUGUUCUUCAUCAUUUUCAAUGAGUGAAUGACUCACUGAAAAAGAAAGAUUUGGUUAUGCUGAUAAUAGAUUGAUUAUGCAUCCUUCGUAGAAUCAAACUGGCAUAAUUCUAGAUUUUCGAUGAGUGUAUGACUGAAAGAAAUUUUUUAUAUUUUGGUGAAUUUGGUUGAAUGAACUAGGGAUUUGAUUUGAAUUUGGACUUUGUGAUGAAUUUGGUUGAGGUGAACUAGGGAUUUGAUUUGGACUUGUUUUGGUUUUGUGCAUUUCCAUCUAGAUCGAAUCUAGAUUGCCUACACCUUUAGCGGAUCAAAUCUGAUGUAGUUGAAGAUGUUUUGUGUGGCUUUGUGCCAUUUGGAAUAUGAAGUGGCUUUGUGCCAUUUCGACCAAUUCGGUAAUUUUCAUGGGAAUUUAACCUAUUAAUGUGACUUGGUUCACAACUGCUGAAUUUGAGGUAAUUUGCCUCCAUGAUUUUUGAAGAUUCGCAUCCACUAAUGUGACACGGUUCGAAGUUUUCUCCAUGUUUUUCUUUAUUUUGGACUACUUGGAUGUGGUAUGCCUCCGCCAAGCCGUUUCGUUCUUGGUCCUGUUUGAUUCAUUGAGCCUAAGUUUGAAAGCUAUGACCAUUUCCAACCGAUCAAGCCAAAGGGUCAUAGGCCAAAAUAUAGCCAAUUUUGACAGAAAAUCGUCUCCUAUCGAGAGCUAGGCCAAAGGGCUUGUGAACCCCACUAAGCCAUACUUCAUCCAUUAGGCCAGUGGGCUGGCCAAAAAGAGCCAGCUAGCCCGUUUCUAGCAGCCCAAAACAGGGAGAGAAUAGGCGUGCCCCAUCUCACUGAGACCGAUUGCACAGAUUCCAAAGACACGUGUCCUAGCUGAGAACGAAACACACCCUAAAAUCCAUGGAGUAGGAUUCUCUCCCCUCUUUUUUUUCCCUCCCCUUCCCUCCCCUCCUAUUUGAACGGUCACAAUUAAGCUACAUCAACAUCUUAUAUUAAUUUAUUAAAGAAAGAGAAAGAUAAAAUAAAGAAUGUGAGAUGAGGAGAUGGAAAGAAAAGGGUAGAGAAUCAUAAUCCAAAAUCCAUUAAUGUGGACAACUCCUUGCAAGGCAUGUGUCAUCCUUCCUCAGAAACAAUGAUGCCUCCAAAAUAAUAUUCACAUUCUUCUACAUCCUUUCAUCAUUCUAUAUCAUCUUACCUCAUUUUAUUUCAAUUCUUCACAUUCUAUUCUCUUACAUUUUUCAAUAAUCUUUCCUUUAAUAUUUUCAAUAAUUUUCAAAUGGCCACAUCUUCAAUCAAAGAAAGGGCUUAUUCAUUUAACAACAAGUGGCACUCAAAAUACGUCAUAAAACCUUAUUUUAAUUCAAUUAACAAUCUUAAUUCAAUUAAAAUAAUAAAUUAUUGAGGGGGCUAAAAAAUAGCCCCCUUCGGUUAGAGAUGGUUUUUUGUUAAACGGGCUAUGUUUUGGCCUAUGGCCAUUUGGCCCCCUCAGUUGGAGGUGGUAUAAAAUAUAGCCUGACUGUUCAUUAAAAAAUAAUUUCUUGCAUACCUAUAGGGCUAAACAUGGCCUUUUGGCCUCCUUUCAGGCCAUCUCAACCGAUCCGGCCAAAGGGUCAUAGGGCCGAAAAUAGUCCAAAAUGACACGAAAAUCGUCUCCAACAGAGGGCUAGUCCAAAAGGCUUAUGGGCCCCACUGGGCCAAAAAUACAAAAUCAGGCCAACCCGCUGGCCCAAAUAAGCUAGCUAGUUAGCCCUGGGCCGGCCCAACCUUUUAAAAGCAACGGCUACCUGGCAUCAGCAUGACGCCAGCUAGCAAUGGCUAGCUGAUGCCAGGUAACCGUUGGAUUUGAAUUUUUUUUUCCUGACAAAAUUAAAAAAAAAAAAAAUUCCAAUUUUUUUCUAUAAAUACCUAAUUCAUUCCUACACCAUUUCUCACAUUAUUUUCACCAUUCCAUACUAUUUUACACGAUUUCUCUCCUAAAUCAUUUCUUACCUUUUCCAAUAAUCUUUGCUUCAAUUUUUUCAAUAAUUUUCAAAUGGCCAGAUCUGCAUUGAAAUGUAGGGCUUGGACCCGAAAAGAAGAUGAAGCUCUUUGCAGGGCUUAUAAGUGGGUCUCCAAAGAUAGUGUGAAGGGGAGUUCUCAAACAAGUGAAGGUGUUUGGACUCGUACAUCCAAAAAAUACUAUGAGUUCUACAAAAGCACCACUCCACCGAUUUCCCAAAACCACGAGAGUUCUUCAAGAUCGAAAAAACAUCUUCAUCCAAGUUUGAAUAAAUGACAUCAAGCAGUGUUAAAGGCCAAAAGCAGACAUGAAAGUGAAGCCAAUUACUACGACCAAGUAAGUGUUUUCACAAGUUAUUUUAAAUGUUUAAUUGGGUAAAUUACAUAGUAGCUCCUCAGGUUUGAGCUCUAUUGCAAUCUCAUACAACAUCUUUAAAACAUUUCACUUUCAUACCUCAAGUACUAUUUUAUUUCAAUUUCAUACAACCGUUAGAUUUUCCAUCCAUGGAUCUGUUAAAUGCUGACGUGGCUGCCACAUAUAUGACACGUGGCUGCCAAAUGUCUGCCACGUGGCAAAUAAAAUAAUUUUUUAAUUUUUUUUUUUUAAAAAAACAUAUCUGCCAUUUUUUUUUCUCUUUCUUCUUCUUCUUCUCUUUCUCUUUCUUCUUCUCUUUCUCUUUCUUCUUCUUCUAGGUUCGGACCUUUUUUUUUUUUUUUUUUCUUCUUCUUCUUCUUCUUCUCCCUCCUCCUCCUCUUUCUUCUUCUCUUCUUCUUCUUCCUCCUUCUUCUUCUGGGUUCGGUCCCUUUCUUUCUUUUUUUUUUUUUUUCUCUUUCUUCUUCUUCUUCUUCUUCUUCUCUUUCUUCUGGUUCGGACCUCCUUUUUUUUUUCUUCUUUUUCUUCUUCUUCUUCUUCUCCCUCCUCCUCCUCUUCUUUCUUCUCUUCUUCUUCUUCUUCCUCCUUCUUCUUCUGGGUUCGGUCCUUUUUCUUUUUUUUUUUCUUUUUUUUUCUCUUUCUUUUUCUUCUCUUUCUCUUUCUCUUCUUCUUCUUCUCUUUCUUCUUCUUCUUCUUCUGGGUUCGGACCUUUUUUUUUUUUUUUCUUCUUCUUCUUCUUCUUCUUCUUUUCUUCUUUUUUUUCUGGGUUCGGUCCCUUUUUUUUUUUUUUUUUUCUUCUUCUUCUUCUUCUCUUCUUCCUCCUCCUCCUCCUCCUCUUUCUUCUUCUUCCUCUUUCUUCUGGGUUCGGACCCCUUUCUUUUUUCUUUUUUUUUUCUUCUUCUUCUUCUCUUUCUCUUUCUUCUUCUUCUGGGCUCGGACUUUUUUUUCUUUUUUUUCCUUCCAAUUUCAGGUUUUUAAAAAAAAAAUAAAAAAUUAUUUUAUUUGCCACGUGGCAGACAUUUGGCAGCCACGUGUCAUAUAUGUGGCAGCCACGUCAGCAUUUAACAGAUCCAUGGAUGGAAAAUCUAACGGUUGUAUGAAAUUGAAAUAAAAUAGUACUUGAGGUAUGAAAGUGAAAUGUUUUAAAGAUGUUGUAUGAGAUUGCAAUAGAGCUCAAACCUGAGAGGCUACUAUGUAAUUUACCCUAUUUAAUUAUAUUACAUUUAAUUUCAUAAAUUAAUUUCCUUUAAUUUUUGUAAUUAUAUUUUCUAGGUACGCCAAGCGGAGGAAUUGUAUGUCAAGGACAACUCGAAACUCUUUAAUCAACACAGUUGUUGGAGAAUUUAUAAGGGGUGGGUGUUAUUUGAAGAUCCACCUCAAGAAAGAAUUGCUCCUAUGCCGGUGUUCGGAAAUGCAUCCUCAAAUGCAGUUGGGGAUGAAUAUGGAUCUCCUAUCGUUCAAGAAACAAGGGUAGAAAAUCUAUCUUCGGGUGAAGGUUCCAUACCUAGGGCUAUGGGACGAAAUAAGGCCCAAAGGGCAAAGCAAAGGAUGAUUAUGCCUUUCAACAGGAAAUGGAGUCCUCAUUACGAUUAAUGGCGAAGCAAAAUGCCUUUGCCGCGGAAGAAAUGAAUCGUAGGCAUGAAGAACGGGCAAAACAAAUUCAAGAAGAGAUGGAUGAUAGGAACAUGCAAAGGAACACUUCGGAUUACACUUCAAUGAGCAAGACCUAUUUUGAUAGGAAAAAAAGUGAAAUUAUGGUCCAACGGGAGUUGUUUACAUCCGACUAUAAUCCUACAAUGGCGGAUGAUGAUGAUGAUAAUUAUAGACUUUAAAUUUAAGUUGUUGUAGUUUUUAAAUUUAAGUUGUUGUAAUCUUUAAAAUUUAAAUAAUAAAUUAUGUUUGGCCUAUGGCCCUUUGGCCCCCACGGUUGAAGAUGAAUUUUUGUCACAUGGCUAUGUUUGGCCUAUGACCUUUUGACCCCUCGGUUGGAGAUGAUAAGAAAUAUGGUCUGGCAUUGUUGUUACGCCCCGGACCCGGGGUCAACAGGAAAACUCUCGAACCCAAAUCCAGUGCACGAGCUAAAAAUAGAAUUAAAUAAAAGGAAAGUGAAACUGGGUGGAAAAAUAUGAAAUUCCUCUUAUAACGAGAAAUCGAUAAUUCUUUACAAGACUAAAAUAAAUAAAUACAAAAUUAUAUCCUCACCCUUAAUCUGAUCUCAUCCCGUCUACCUUUUCUGACUGUUUAGUUCUUAAACCUACUUAACAAUAGAGGGUUGAGCUUCAACAGCUCAGCAGGGACAUAACCUUAUCACAGUAAAUUGACAAUAUUAAAUUAAGUGUCAUGAAAUCAUAUGGCCAAAUAUCAAAUCAUUAUUGAUCAUGAAUGCACUUGAAACUCUUCGGCUACCCCUGUUAAUUUAUAUAAUAAAACAAGCGGACUUGCACGUUCCAUACUGUAACAUCCCACAUCGCCCAGGGGAGUGAUCCUUAAAUGUAUAUUCUCAUCCCUACCUAGCACGAGACCUUUUGGGAGCUUAUUGGCUUCGGGUUCCGUCGGAACUCCGAAGUUAAGCGAGAACGUGGCCAGAGCACUCCCAUGAUGGGUGACCCACUGGGAAGUUGCUUCUGAGUUUCCAGAAACAAAACCAUGAGGGCGUGUCAGGGCCUAAAGCGGACAAUAUCGUGCUACGGUGGUGGAGUAGGCCCGAGAAGUGUUCCGCCCAGGGCGGGAUGUGACAAAUGGUAUCAGAGCCAAUCCCUGGCCGGAAGUGUGCCGAUGAGGAUGUCGGGCCCCUAAGGGGGGUGGAUUGUAACAUCUCACAUCGCCCAGGGGAGUGAUCCUUAAAUGUAUAUUCUCAUCCCUACCUAGCACGAUGCCUUUUGGGAGCUCACUGGCUUCGGGUUCUGUCGGAACUCCGAAGUUAAUCGAGAACGUGGCCAGAGUACUUUCAUGAUGGGUGACCCACUGGGAAGUUGCUCGUGAGUUCCCAGAAACAAAACCGUGAGGGCAUGGUUAGGGCCUAAAGCAGACAAUAUCGUGCUACGGUGGUGGAGCGGGCCCGGGAAGUGAUCCGCCCCGGGCCGGGAUGUGACACAUACCAUGCAUUUUACCCUUGCAUAGAUGGUUCGAAUAUUCUAUUAUAGAAACUAACCCUCAUAUGAUAUCCCAAGUUCAUUGAUCUCCAGCCUAAAUUACCCACAUCGACAAUUCCUGUCAAUCCUAUUCUAAUGUGCACACCGGGCUCGCCUGGAACUAGUUUCACAAUGAUUAGAUUCAACUACACAAAAGAUCAUUUCAAACUACCCUCAUUUCCAUACUUCCAAUCUUAAGGCUGAAAUUUCAACCACAUCAACAUGAAUGAUGCACAAACAAUGUCAUUUCAUCUUUCACAUGUAUCACAGUACAUUCUCAAUGCAUAGCAUUUCAGCAUUAAUUCCAUAACCAAGAACAAGUAAACACUUAACUGAACCAAUUAGCCAAUUAUUAUCCAAUCACAUUAAUCAACCAAAAAGAUCAAGAAUAUUAUAGCACUUCACGAAAUUGAAUAAAAUCAAUUUCUGUAAAGGUUUGCCGUAUUUCCCCUACCUGGAUUCCAAAGCAUUGCUCCGACUCUCUAUUGCAAGAGUCUACCUUCAACAACUCCUAUCCACAAGUGUAAGAAAUUACUAAAAAAAAUGACAUGAACUUUAAUCCUAGUCAGAAUACUUAAGCUUGCUAAUUACACACUACUAAUUCAAAAGUCAUUUGGUUAAUUUACAACAGCAUGGUCAUCAGUGAAGGAAACUUUUGAACUAGAAUACCUUUAUAAAAUAAGUAAAGGUAUACUUCGAAAUACAUAAGUACAUUAACAUACUUCAGCCAAGCUAUAGAUAAAAGCACUAAUCUGUUAGUAUUAUGAAUGAUGUAAAAGCCCUUUAAUUGGCUAUGGUUUUGGCCCAAUUAGAAUAGAACAAACAGCUUAAUAAAAUAAUCUAAAAGAAAAGAAAAUGAAUAAUAUGAAUAUAUAGUUCAAAUACUACCGUAAUGGUGUACUGAACUUAUUUGGUUCAAAAUAAUAGUAAAUUAGAGUAUAGAAAAUUGAAAUAAAGGAAUUAACGAUUAAAUAAGAAGUAAUACAAAACUUUAUGAAAUUAAUAAGUAUAUACAACACAUAAUUAUAUAUAAUUAUUUUUGAAAAUACAGGUCCUCACAAUUGUUUAUUAAAAUAUUAAUUUCUUAAAUGACUAUAGGGCUAAAAGAGUCUCUAACCCUCUUUUGGUUGGAGAUAAGCCUCAAUUGGAGAUGGUAGCCAUUAUGAAUAAUAAUGAUGACUAAUCGUGACAAACGUUUGAAAUCUACAUGAGUAGGUAAGGUUUUGGCAGUAGGCAGUGGAUGUCUCUUUUUGAUUCCCAUCCACUUGUUGUCCACUUGCUCCGUAAGUGCAGCUUUUCAGUGCCUUUUUUUCUUAAGAAAAUUAAUAAAAAUAAGCUUUAAUUUUUUACAUUUUAAUCAAAAAUCGUUUAUUAAUUUUAUUUAACAAUAAAAAUAAAAAGAAUAAAAAAUAAAAUAAAAAAUAAAAAUAUACAACUCACGCUGGGCGCACGUACCUCCCACCCUUUUACCUCUCUUUCACACUCUCCUUUCUCCCGUUGUCAGCUAUCAUUAAGAGUUUUUUUUAGAAUAAGAAAAAGACUUCAAAUUAAAUUACAUUUCUCAGUUUUAUUUUUGUGGUGUUGUUUCCCAAUAGUAAUUAAGAUGACGAGAGACUUUUCAAUGUGUACAGAAAACGGGUAGUACACUACAUGUCUCUAUACAUGUGGUGAGAUUUUUAUGUUAAAAAUUAUUAACGUAAAAAAUAAAGUUUCUCACCACUUACACAAUAACACGUGGUGUACCACUUGUGUUACGCGCAUAAGAAAUUUUUUCUCCAAGAUGACACCUAAGCUCAAAGAAAUUGGAUGAAGAGUUACAUUUAAUUAAUGCAGGUAUGUAAAAAAGUGAGGAAAUUUUAAUUUGGUAACUGAAAACAACUUUUUAAAUAUAAGGCUAAAUAGCCAAAAUGGUCCCUGAGAUUUGCAUAACUCAUCACUUUGGUCCCUAACAUUUCAAAUCAAUAAAAGUGGUCCCUGAGAUUGUCCACCAUCCAUCAUUUUGGUUCUUCCGUUAUGCUAAAACUCACAAAACCUCACUAUGGUAAAACCCACAAAACCUCGCUAUGGUAAAACCUAAGGUGGGAGAAAAAACUCAUAGACUAAGGAGAAAGGUGAGAAGUUGCAUUAAGUCAAAACUAUACGUCUUCUGGAUGCAAGUAAAAGAGCUUACAAGGGUAUGACCAGCCGAAGAUGGGUGCCUCGUCAAAACCUAGUUAGGUAGUAAAAAACCCAGUGGGAAAAAUGCUAUCGUAGAAAAAAAAGUACAUGAAGAUCAAGUGAGUAUAAUUUUGGAUACUUCCGCAGAGUUUGACAAAAUUUCCAAAUAAGAAUGACAAGCAUUGCAUAUGAUUAGUUAGGCAUACCAAUUCCUCAGACAAGUUUCGAGAAAGUAGACUUCGGCAGUGACGUCGUGUAAAGGUUGGCAAGGUUGUCAAGGAUCGGCUUGCAUAACUUCAAUCUCCUGAUGCUUUGUUGAUGUGGUGUAGAUGCAAUAUCUCUUGGCGUUGACUUCGUUGAUGUAUCAUGUCUUUGUCGAGUUGAUACAUGCUGCAUAGUCUUCAUAGAUUGUCGUUAGGACUCAACGAUGGAUGAAGGCAUUGCAUGUACUUCAAAUAUGCUCAACAAUAGCUCUUAACCAUGUCUCACAUGUGGCAUAGUGAAGUGAGGUGAGUCUUGGAAUGAUUUGAAUAUUUGCAACUAAGGUCACAUCGUGGACCUCCAAGAUAUUGCGGUAUCCCUAACGGUAAAGACAUAGACAUUUGGGGAUGUCCCUUGUGCGGGUUUGAUAAGCAUCUUGCGUCAACAUAACAAACAAGGCUAGGAUCAUUCUGAUGAUCAAGGGGUUAGAUUUGCUCGGCAUAUGUUGGGAUUAGCCCAAAUCCGUAGUACCUUCAGGGUAGCAGAAAAACGUCUUUAUUACCAAUUCAGUGGUUGCAUGUAGGCGCGAUGCUACAUCUUUACUAAUAGAUCAACAUCGAAUGAGAUAUCAUGUCUAACAUAAUGAGCUAAGUACAACAAAGCGUAAAGUUGAACUUAGAUAUGGAACUUUAGAUUCCAUAACCUCUUCAAGGGUCUCAUUUGCAUAUAGCGUAUGGAAGAUCAUAGGUAUACUCAAAAGAUAACACCUUUGGGGUGUAGUUCGAUUGGUAGACCAAAAUAUCAUCAAAACACAAAACAACGCUUGAACUUCAGGUCAAGGCAUAAACGAGUUUUCCUAAGAUCCUCAUCUCCAUUUCCAUCUUUAGGUGUUAGGCAGUUUUCUCAAGCUCUUCUAGAGUCUUAAUGAGAUGCAUGUCAUCGACAUAAACUGUAACUCUAGCAAUUCAGAAUAUGACUUCGUAGUUUAACACGCAAUGGCAUAAUUCAUAUCUCUAAUUGAUCAAACAAUCACUUUGACAGGUAUACCAUAUCUGUCGAAUUGCUUCAAUCCGUAAGUGAACACCUCAAACAAGUUGAGAGGGUGUUCCGUAGUCUAACUAUUUGAACUAGUUCAUGUAAUUAUUCGAGAACUUACAUGUCAAUCUCCGUAUCAAUAUUCCUAUCGAGAAACACUAACCACAUUCAUAAUUCUACAGUCAAUCACAGGGCGUUUGAGAGAAACAUUGCGCUGAAAGUAAUGCUAUCUCAUUCAUCUCAUUACAUUUCUUUUCCUACUUGUAACACAACAGGGUUACCUUGGACAGUGUAGGAACGAAAAGUCCAAACACAUUUUGGUAAGGAAUUUAACCUAGAUUGAAAUCUUGGUUGUCCGAUUAGUUUUACGUUGUCAUUAAUCAACUGAAUGUAAUUCAAAAUUGUCGUUUUUCAUUUAUGUCCGUAGCUACCAUAUAAGUGAAAACAUCAUCGAUGAUAAUCUCAUUCCAAUUCCAUAUCUCAUCCAAACUAGUAUACUAGACCAAGAACUUCAAGUCUCAGGAGUAAUCCGGAUUAAUCUUUUGAGGUGAAAAUUAUUUGAGACAACGAUCAAUUAUGGAUUUAUGUUGUGUCGUGAUCUUCCUCUUCUAGGGAAGUGAAUCUUAUGAACCGAGUAAUACGUCGUGCUUCAAGCCAAGAACGGAUUGAUUGACUAUCUGCCAGGGUACCAAGUUGCCCAACAUGGGCAGCCAACACCCUUUAGGAAUGUUGACUUAACGUCUGUUAAGUACAUCUAUCCUUGCAUGCAUGUUUGCAGCUGGCAUAUGAUCUUGUCACUUUAGCUAGAUCAAAGGAAUGCGUCUAGAGCAACAUUCUGAAAGUUAGAAUACAUCACACAUACUUAUCACACUUGUGUGGAUAUGAGACAUAGUGGGCAACGUGCACGCGAAUUUGCUUCGUUCUACAGGAACUUUGACGUUCUUAUCUCCCUCUAAUAGCGAGAAGACUGUCUCAUUCAAGUGACAAUUCACAAAAUGAGCGAUAAGGAGAUCGCAUGCAAAGGUUGUAAAGAGCUAGUGCGAAGGAAAAUCAUAAUCAACAAAGAUUCACAUCCUUCUUUAAGGAACCAUGUUGGUAUGUUGCGGUGGUGCAAACUUGGCACAUGGAAUGCACACCCAAAUGUGUAAGUAUGGAACGUCAGGUUCGUACCUAGUAACCAACUGUAACAUCGAAUAGGUUAGGUGGCAAUGGCCUCAAAGCAAAUCAACAUAGUUGUGUACAUGAUUGCAUAGCUCUAGAAAUCAAUAGCUUGGUGUGUUCACCAAGGUCCAACGAUCAAUUAAACUGCGCUUUAUGAUCACUCUGCGAGGCUGUUUUGGGGUGAACAUGGGAAUUCAAUGUCCAAUUAUAAACCCAAAAAAAAAUGCAAUACUUCUUGAAAACCUUCGAUAUAAACUUUCUAGUAUUAUCCAGUGUUCUAGACUUUAUGGGAUAAUUAGGGUGGUGGUGCCUUAAAAUUGGCCAAGAGGUUUAGCUGCAGUGUGUGUGGACAAACAUGUGACCAGUUUGUCGAUUCAUCAACCAAAACCAUAAGUAUUUAUAUUGUCCACAUUUUGGUUGGAUUAGUCCACAUAUAUUUCCUUGAAUCCACUAUGAAAAGAAGGCCAUUUCGUAUCUUUGCUAGGGAUGAUUUAGAAAAUCAAAUUUCCCAAACGAGUAAGUUUGGCAAAGUGUGUGCUUGUAAACAUAAGAUCCUUACUUUGGGCAAGGAGAUUCUUCGUGGCAUCAUUGUUCGACCUAAGUUUACCAAACGGUCGUGCCAAGGCAAGUAAACUGCUCGAAUCACCCACCUCUAAGUCGGCUACACAUGGCGUAUCCUAGUGGGGAGGUAGCCUAUUGGCCCUAAAAUAAAACUUUAGGCUCAUUUUGGGGGUGAUGCAAAGACAUUCCACUCUAUGUUUCAUCAAUGGUUUCAUUCAUGAUCAUUGUUCUCUCGAAUAUCCUAAAGACUCAAUGAUUUUCUUCUGGAAUGAGGAGAACAUAAGGUCUCUUAAAUGGUAAUUUAGUACCAUUUAUACAAUGAGAAGCAUGCCAAUGCUCUUAAUUAGGUUGGAUAAACCUGAAGUCGUUGUUAAAGAUGUGAUUUAGGUAUAUAGUUAGUGUGCGUAGUGUCGCAUUCAUCCAGACAACUAACUUUCCCACAUUCGUACCUAAUCACGUUUUUAAUUGAAUUCGGUUAGAAACAUUAUUCAAUUAACUCAUAUUCGAGGACAAUAUCGAUAAGAUUAUCCACAAAGUAAACCAAAGUUACUAAAGAGAUUCUCCCAACAAGGUCAUCCAUGUCAAAAUUCUGGAGCAAAAUUAGUCUCAGAUAUUGAUUACGAGAAUGGUACUCCUUAACGAUAUUGGUAGGGGCAUGAAAAGGUGCAUAACCAAUGAAUCUAUUCCACCAAGACGGAAGUAGAUUCUGCAAGGUUGAGGUUUGGGAACACUAUCCCUUAUUCUUGAAGUUUUAGGUCUUAGAGAGUAUCCUACGCACGUUUGGUGACUUUUAUCAUGGCAUUUAUGAUGAUCAGUUUCUCUUUAUUUGCAAUGGUAUGCAGGCCCUCGUUGAUCUUAAGAAUCUUCUACAACUCAGGACAAUCGCAAUUCUCGAGCCUCUCGUUUUUAAGAACUUUUGUGGGCUGGAUGGUGCCUUGGAGAUAUUGAGGCAGCGACUACAGGGUUUAAUGGUGGUGGAAGACCACAGAGAUUAUGCUAUGGAUGUGCAAAGCAUCCGCAAUGAAGUGCAGCAGAAUUUUGAUAGAAAGCUGGAAGAGGUGGUUGCUAAACUUGUUUUGGGUAGCAAUCUGUUUAGAAAUUUACUUUUGGUCGUAACUACCAUCCUAUUAUUUUCUUUUACUUAGCGUCUUAUGGAAAUGACAGGUAAAGCAAAAGGGUGGCCAGGGGAAGACUGAAAUGCAUAUGUGAGUCUUUCGGCCUCCAAAAUGGUGGAUUGACGUAACAAAGCCACCAGCUGGUUCCGUAAACAACAUUACAUACUUGGGUACAUCUGGUGCGCUUGUAAUUUAUGUAUUGCUCUUGAUCUUGGAUCUGUACAUAGCGAACAAUUGGAAAUCUAGUCUCUUUCCCCAUAAGGGAAACUAAGGUAGGCUUUGGUUGUAACUUGUAGUCAUAAAUUGAUAGGUGAAACUUCAGGGGAAGAAAUGUUAUAUGUUAUACUAUCUUCUUGGAAAAUGAAUUUAUCUUGGCAGUCAGCUUAUCCAAGCAUCUUCGGUGAAAAUGAAGUUUUGUUGUGAAAGUAAUUGACGAUUAGCAAACUAGUUUAUAUGCCUGUGUAAGAUUAGUGGGGGUGAACAUGCUAUGAUUGCGUGAUGGAAGUUAAAUUUUCGCUCAGUAACUAAUAACCCAUGUAUCAUGGUGAAUGGGGAGGAGUAGUUCAACUCCUUAGAAGCUUUCUUUAACUUCUCAACGUACGAUAAUUCCAUAUUCUCACAGAAACAGCAUGUAGAAGCAACAAAGAAAGUUUUGAAGUGAUACUUCUACAGUUUGAUACAAGAGUAAGACUCUUUCAUGAAUGAAGUAGGUGAACAAUUCUUGUUGAACUAUUAAAUAGCAAUUUUUCUCUUUGGUACCUAAAAACACGGACUAUCGUUGCAUGAUUGAUUGCUGGAUUUGAUCUAAAAACUUAAAAGUUUAACCUUUGGAUAUGAUGCUACUGUUCAGGCUAGAUCUGUCCCUCGCACAGCUCCUUGGAGCUCUUGCUUGUCAGGCAAGGUUUGCUGCAAUAUGAACUUGCUGUUAGUUUGAAUGGUGCCUUUGUAGGGCCUUUGUUAGGUCGAGUCAUUUGACAUGAUUAAUGAAAUUGAUUGAGUUAGGGUUGAUUAGAAUUUGGGAUGGACACAAAGCGAGGAAUAGAGAGCAGGAAAAUUUGAAAUUGAAGAUCAAUUAUGUGAAGAAUAGUGCUAACUGUGAGAAUGUGAGGACAAAUAUAGGUGAGCGACCAAACUAUGCAAAGGGCUUAUAAAAGGCUGAGUUGCUCUUCAUAUUAUCAAUAAGUUUUAUGAUGGAACCUUAGCUUUCUUCAUGGUAUCCGAAUAGGUUGACCCACGUGUAAAGCCCAAUAGCCACAUGUGCUCACAUCACCCUAUUUGUAUUAUCCACGUGUUAGGCUUGAAAAUUCGUCACACAUGAGGGGGCAUGUGAGAAUGUGAAGACAAAGUCUCACAUUGGUAAGGGAACAAACCAUACAAGGGCCUAUAAGAGGUGGGACUAUUCCCUAUAUAAUAUAUUGCUAAUUAGUUUUAUGGUGAAAUCUCAACUUUAUUCAGUAAUAGUGCAUGAAGAUGAUGAUAUCAUAAAAAUUAUUAGUGGAGCGUGAGAGGGCUUUCUUAAGUUUAGGAGAGAUAACUAAUAAUGUUUCAAUAGAGAAAAAUAAGAUUUGAUAGAAGAAUUGUAAUAGCCAUGUGGAGCUAGGUGUAUGGAAAGGGAAUUUAUAACCCUUUUGGGGAAAGUAUGGGGGAAUUUUAGUUAUAUAAGGUUUUCUGGUCGAGUGAGUAUUGAAAUAAUUUUUCAGACUCCAUUAAGUUUCAGGUGACUGAUUGUUUACUUCAGUGGUAGUCCAGAGUUCAUGCCCUACGCUAACAGUUUGGGGCAGGACAAUUUUGAUGUGGUGAUUUACAUUUAUGAUAUUUAAAAUCAAUAAAAUUGGUUUGUUAACAAUCAAUCAUUUUAGUCAUUUCAUAAAAAAAUUUCGUUAAAUAAAAAUAAAAUAGCAAAAAUACCAUCAAUUUUUGUCAAAUUAUUUUGGCAUAUUAUUUAUUAAAUUGAAGAGUAUUUUUUUCUCAUUUUGGUCCUUAUUUAACAGAAAUUUUCACGGAAUGACCAAUAUGAUUGAAACUGGACAAACUCAGUAACCACUUCUGUUGCUUUCAAAUCUUAAGGACUAAGUGAGGAGUCAUGACAAUCUCAAUAAUCAUUUUAGCUAAAAAGCUGAAGGUAAAAGCCCAAGAUAAUAUUACCCUUUACCCUUUAAUUUUAAAAAACUUGAAAGGAAAGGGGGCUCAAAAAAAUAAUUUUAAAUUGGAAAACAAAAAUAAAGCAAAUUUGAGGUUCAAAUAGAACCAUCAUAAUUCAUUUGUUUUCUAUUGGAAAAAGGUUUUUUGCCAUCUUGGUCUGUGUUUAACUAGCUUUCUUCUAGUUGAAACCUAAUUUCCCUAAUUCUCUAAUACAUUAGUUUCAAAUGUUUUUUUUUUUUCCCGUCAUUCCUGUAAUCCCAGAUUUAUUUCAAAGUAUUUAGAUUUUUGUAACAAAUGUAUAGUUAUAAUAACUUAUUUACAACUUAAAAUCCAGCCAUCUAAACUUGCAAAUUGUUGCAGCCAUGAGGCUCGUUAAUUAUUUUUUAAUAUUUUUUUUCACUGUUUUCCUAUAUGAUAAAGGGUGGUGCAAUCUACACACCUAACUUUACCUCUCACAUAUCCCUUGUUAAUUACUGUCCUUUCUAUUUUUCAAUUCAUUCGAUCAAUUUCAACUGUACAAUACACAAGCAAAACACAAAAGCGAAUACACCAAUUCUGGUUGAUUUCUUAAGAGAGAGUCAUCAUCCAAACCAGAGUAGUGCUAAAGACUAAUUGGAAAACUAAUCAUUGUCCGUACAACCAACAAAAUCACACUCCCAAAUAGGUUACAAGCAUUCAUCCAAGUUCCAACUAGUACUAGAGAGCAGCAACAGUCUAGAACUCCCAUUUCUUCAUGUCCACGCCGACCGGAGCACUUCCCUCAACCUUUUGUUUCCCACUUCCUUACAGUUUGUCUAAGUCAUUGUCCUGUUCCACUCCCCACAGCAUGUCUUGUCUCCACAGAGCACUUCCCUCAACCUCUUGUUUCCCACUUCCUUCCAGUUUGUCUAAAGCACUGUCCUGACUUCCCUCAGCAUGUCCUGUCUCCUCGGUGCCCUUUUUCGUCUGUAUUCGAAGAGGUGAUAAUUUUCCGCACCUCCAUUAAGUUCUUCCCGCCGCAUCGCUUAGUCUACCCUUUUUCGUUUCGGGGAUGGGUAGUACGGGCUUGACGCUCCAACAACUGGGCUACUGACCCUUAGUGGAACAGAGUUGUCCUCGCUGAAUUCAAGAGAUGUCCAGUGUAAUGGUUCAGCUUUAGCCAGGCGAAUUUCAACUUUGGUGGACAGAACGUCAAAUCUGCACUUUUCAGGCAUUAUCUUUCCAAAUAAGCGAGGCUGAAAAUAAUAUGUAUCUUCACCAGCAACAUCAAUGCUAACACUUAGUAUUUGUUCACCAAAGUCAACAUUAACGUCUUUGGCUGGUAUGCCCUUGGCGAAUAUAGUCACAACCACUUCUUCUGGCUUCUGGUAGAAUUCAUGCCUGUACUUUGGGUUGACAGAUGCUACGGCCAACUCGAAGGGGCCAUAGAUGAACGCCUCCUUUGCACGCUUUUUGAGAUCAGAAGCCAUGGGCGGACAACGGUCCAUGUGGACUGAGGGAGAUGUAAGAGUCUAGAUAAAAAGUAUACAACUAUGGUUAAUUGUUGAUUUCUUUACAUCUUUGAGAUAAGAAACUAAAUACAAUUUAUGGUAUUUAAUAAAAUACAAAAUACGUUGAUUAAUUAAUAAAUUUUUAAUUUAUCGAUUAUUUAAUAUUUUGCUAAAUAAUUGUCUUCCUGGGUCUCGAGGCUAUUAAUUUAAAGAAGUUUAAUUAUAUAGAAAACCAAAAAUAAAAACAGAACAAAAUAUAAAAAUAACCAAACCUAAACUUAGGUGCUAAAAUUUGGCAAAUAUACGAUAUAACUCUAAUAAUUUCGGAAGUACAAACCUCGUCUGAUGAAGUAUUGCUUGGUACGGCACCAAUCUCGUCAUUCCUAGAGUAUGAGUCACCACCAUCACCAUCAUCCCAGACUAGAUUAACUCCUGUUUUCAUUGCUUUCGCUCUCCAACCUGUAACUGCAGAAAUCGAGACUUCGUCCCCACUUUGCAAAGGGAAUACAUCAUUUGAUAAUACACUUUGCAAACGGAGUACACUAUUAGCGAAACCGAGUGUAUAUUCUCCCGGGAUGUGCAAAGUCUUACCCUUGGUAAUAUUUGUAACAGUAAAUCCAGGACAAUACGUUUUGAAAACACAGCAGAGAGUCAAUCCUCUAAAAAUUACGACCAAUAAUUUGAGGCACUUUAAAAUGAACACCAUUGGACUCAUGAAUACCAACAAACUGGAACCACUCUGGAUUAUCAUAAACUCCAUUGAGAAAAAUGCCACCAUGUCCGCAAGAAGUCCAUCCCUAGAUCAUACCAUGUAAAGCCAGAUUAAUUUGUAGAAGCAAUAGUCUUAAUUAUGCAUGCGUGUCAUCAACAGUGCCUCUGUGGGCGUGUGAUAGAAAGUGCAAGAGAAUAUAGCUCUCAGAGAGAGAUCUGUAGGAUGUUCUUCCUAAAACUCAGCAUGUACACGUCAUUCUUAUGCAUAAGUAAUAUAUUCUUGUACAUGCAUGUCUUAUGCGUGUAUGUGUGAGAGAGAGAGAGACCUGUAUGAUGUUCUUCCUAAAAGCAGCAGUGAGAUCGGUGCAGCCUUCCAUAUGAAUCCUCCUCAUAGUGUUUAACGACUUAUGCAAGCCUAGAAUCUCAGUGAGUUCGGGAGAGCAAUUCAGAUGCAGUUCUACCAUACUCGACAUUUCUGAAAAAUUUGGCAUUUUUUCAAGUGCAAUGCACUGAUUCGCUCUCAAGAUUUCCAAAUUUGUUGGUAAAUUCGGGAUUUCAUGAAGACACAUGCAAAAACUCAAAUCUAACAUUUUAAGCUUGGAGAGUCGACUGAGGCUCGGUAGGCUAUAAAACAAAUUGCCAGCAAGCUCCAAUAUUUCUAAAGAAAAUAGACUCCCAAGAUCCUUAGGGAUUGCAUCAUCAGUUAAACCGCAGUUUCCAAGAUCUAAAAGUGUCAAAGAAUUUAAGCCAUGCAAUGAAAGGAGCACAGAUCUCAGGUUCUUCAAUCCUGCUAUCGAGGAUGGUAAUUUCCUUGUCAUUGUAUGGCUUGCUUGAGGUGUUGUCGAUGAUACCAUCUCCCCCUUGUCCUUCAGUUUUAUAAAUCCUGUACAGCCUUUAAGAAUAAGAGUCUCAACUGAUUUUGACU
This 39404-nucleotide long non-coding RNA is filed under the name Malus domestica (apple). RNAcentral's name for it is "long non-coding RNA (MDOM_LNC008988)". Lineage: Eukaryota; Viridiplantae; Streptophyta; Magnoliopsida; Rosales; Rosaceae. The record is from RNAcentral.